UGAGGAAUAUUGGGCAAUGCCCGCAAGGGUGACCCAGCAACGCCGCGUGGAGGAUGAAUGUCGUAAGAUUGUAAACUCCUGUUAGAGGGGAAGAAUAGUACCGGUUGGACCGGUAUAUGACUGUACCCUCAGAGAAAGCCCCGGCUAACUACGUGCCAGCAGCCGCGGUAAUACGUAGGGGGCAAGCGUUGUCCGGAUUUACUGGGUGUAAAGGGCGCGCAGGCGGGAUAAAAAGUCAGUGGCGAAAUCCUACAGCUUAACUGUAGAACUGCCUUUGAGACUUUUAUUCUUGAGUUCGGGAGAGAGAGACGGAAUUCCAGGUGUAGUGGUGAAAUACGUAGAUAUCUGGAAGAACACCAGUUGCGAAGGCGGUCUCUUGAUCCGACACUGACGCUGAGGCGCGAAAGCG
RNAcentral lists this ribosomal RNA (409 nucleotides) under uncultured bacterium. RNAcentral's name for it is "bacterial SSU rRNA". It matches the Rfam family "Bacterial small subunit ribosomal RNA", at positions 355 to 761 of the family's 1533-position model. The record is from RNAcentral.